AGAGUUUGAUGGUGGCUCAGGAUGAACGCUGGCGGCGCGUCUAAUACAUGCAAGUCGAGCGACCCUUCGGGGGAGCGGCAGACGGCUGAGUAACACGUUGGUACCCACCCAUUACUCGGGGAUAGCUCGGAGAAAUCCGGAUUAAUACCCGAUAGUCUCUACGGAGUAAAGCUUUCGCGGUAGUGGAGGGGCCUGCGGCCUAUCAGAUUGUUGGUGAGGUAACGGCUCACCAAGUCGAUGACGGGUAGCUGAUGUGAGAGCAUGAUCAGCCAGAAUGGGACUGAGAACGGCCCAUACUCCUACGGGAGGCAGCAGUAAAGAAUCUUCCACAAUGGGGGCAACCCUGAUGGAGCGACGCCGCGUGAGGGAUGACGUCCUAACGGAUGUAAACCUCUUUUGUCUGGGAAUAAAUUUUUGAAGGUACCAGACGAAUAAGCACCGGCUAAUCUCGUGCCAGCAGCCGCGGUAAUACGAGAGGUGCAAGCGUUAUCCGGAAUCACUGGGCGUAAAGCGUCCGCAGUCGGUCACACAAGUCUGAGGUAAAAUCCCGGGACCCAAUCCCGGACUCGUCUCGGAAACUGUGUGACUUGAGUCGUGCAGGGGUGAGCGGAAUUCCGAUUGUAGGGGUAAAAUCCGUUGAUAAUCGGAGGAACACCAAACGCGAAGGCAGCUCACUGGGCACGUACUGACGAUCAGGGACGAAAGCGUGGGGAGCGAAGGGGAUUAGAUACCCCCGUAGUCCACGCCCUAAACGAUGGAUACUCGGUUUGCGAGAGAUUCGACCCUCUUGCGAGCCCAAGCUAACGCGUUAAGUAUCCCGCCUGUGGAGUACGGCCGCAAGGCUAAAACACAAAGGAAUAGACGGGGGGCCCGCACAAGCGGUG
Molecule: ribosomal RNA, 884 nt
Filed under: uncultured spirochete
Lineage: Bacteria; Pseudomonadati; Spirochaetota; Spirochaetia; Spirochaetales
Description: bacterial SSU rRNA
Rfam family: Bacterial small subunit ribosomal RNA
Source: RNAcentral